Molecule: ribosomal RNA, 2906 nt
Filed under: Escherichia coli
Lineage: Bacteria; Pseudomonadati; Pseudomonadota; Gammaproteobacteria; Enterobacterales; Enterobacteriaceae
Description: 23S ribosomal RNA
Rfam family: Bacterial large subunit ribosomal RNA
Source: RNAcentral
GGUUAAGCGACUAAGCGUACACGGUGGAUGCCCUGGCAGUCAGAGGCGAUGAAGGACGUGCUAAUCUGCGAUAAGCGUCGGUAAGGUGAUAUGAACCGUUAUAACCGGCGAUUUCCGAAUGGGGAAACCCAGUGUGUUUCGACACACUAUCAUUAACUGAAUCCAUAGGUUAAUGAGGCGAACCGGGGGAACUGAAACAUCUAAGUACCCCGAGGAAAAGAAAUCAACCGAGAUUCCCCCAGUAGCGGCGAGCGAACGGGGAGCAGCCCAGAGCCUGAAUCAGUGUGUGUGUUAGUGGAAGCGUCUGGAAAGGCGCGCGAUACAGGGUGACAGCCCCGUACACAAAAAUGCACAUGCUGUGAGCUCGAUGAGUAGGGCGGGACACGUGGUAUCCUGUCUGAAUAUGGGGGGACCAUCCUCCAAGGCUAAAUACUCCUGACUGACCGAUAGUGAACCAGUACCGUGAGGGAAAGGCGAAAAGAACCCCGGCGAGGGGAGUGAAAAAGAACCUGAAACCGUGUACGUACAAGCAGUGGGAGCACGCUUAGGCGUGUGACUGCGUACCUUUUGUAUAAUGGGUCAGCGACUUAUAUUCUGUAGCAAGGUUAACCGAAUAGGGGAGCCGAAGGGAAACCGAGUCUUAACUGGGCGUUAAGUUGCAGGGUAUAGACCCGAAACCCGGUGAUCUAGCCAUGGGCAGGUUGAAGGUUGGGUAACACUAACUGGAGGACCGAACCGACUAAUGUUGAAAAAUUAGCGGAUGACUUGUGGCUGGGGGUGAAAGGCCAAUCAAACCGGGAGAUAGCUGGUUCUCCCCGAAAGCUAUUUAGGUAGCGCCUCGUGAAUUCAUCUCCGGGGGUAGAGCACUGUUUCGGCAAGGGGGUCAUCCCGACUUACCAACCCGAUGCAAACUGCGAAUACCGGAGAAUGUUAUCACGGGAGACACACGGCGGGUGCUAACGUCCGUCGUGAAGAGGGAAACAACCCAGACCGCCAGCUAAGGUCCCAAAGUCAUGGUUAAGUGGGAAACGAUGUGGGAAGGCCCAGACAGCCAGGAUGUUGGCUUAGAAGCAGCCAUCAUUUAAAGAAAGCGUAAUAGCUCACUGGUCGAGUCGGCCUGCGCGGAAGAUGUAACGGGGCUAAACCAUGCACCGAAGCUGCGGCAGCGACGCUUAUGCGUUGUUGGGUAGGGGAGCGUUCUGUAAGCCUGCGAAGGUGUGCUGUGAGGCAUGCUGGAGGUAUCAGAAGUGCGAAUGCUGACAUAAGUAACGAUAAAGCGGGUGAAAAGCCCGCUCGCCGGAAGACCAAGGGUUCCUGUCCAACGUUAAUCGGGGCAGGGUGAGUCGACCCCUAAGGCGAGGCCGAAAGGCGUAGUCGAUGGGAAACAGGUUAAUAUUCCUGUACUUGGUGUUACUGCGAAGGGGGGACGGAGAAGGCUAUGUUGGCCGGGCGACGGUUGUCCCGGUUUAAGCGUGUAGGCUGGUUUUCCAGGCAAAUCCGGAAAAUCAAGGCUGAGGCGUGAUGACGAGGUACUACGGUGCUGAAGCAACAAAUGCCCUGCUUCCAGGAAAAGCCUCUAAGCAUCAGGUAACAUCAAAUCGUACCCCAAACCGACACAGGUGGUCAGGUAGAGAAUACCAAGGCGCUUGAGAGAACUCGGGUGAAGGAACUAGGCAAAAUGGUGCCGUAACUUCGGGAGAAGGCACGCUGAUAUGUAGGUGAAGUCCCUCGCGGAUGGAGCUGAAAUCAGUCGAAGAUACCAGCUGGCUGCAACUGUUUAUUAAAAACACAGCACUGUGCAAACACGAAAGUGGACGUAUACGGUGUGACGCCUGCCCGGUGCCGGAAGGUUAAUUGAUGGGGUUAGCCGCAAGGCGAAGCUCUUGAUCGAAGCCCCGGUAAACGGCGGCCGUAACUAUAACGGUCCUAAGGUAGCGAAAUUCCUUGUCGGGUAAGUUCCGACCUGCACGAAUGGCGUAAUGAUGGCCAGGCUGUCUCCACCCGAGACUCAGUGAAAUUGAACUCGCUGUGAAGAUGCAGUGUACCCGCGGCAAGACGGAAAGACCCCGUGAACCUUUACUAUAGCUUGACACUGAACAUUGAGCCUUGAUGUGUAGGAUAGGUGGGAGGCUUUGAAGUGUGGACGCCAGUCUGCAUGGAGCCGACCUUGAAAUACCACCCUUUAAUGUUUGAUGUUCUAACGUUGACCCGUAAUCCGGGUUGCGGACAGUGUCUGGUGGGUAGUUUGACUGGGGCGGUCUCCUCCUAAAGAGUAACGGAGGAGCACGAAGGUUGGCUAAUCCUGGUCGGACAUCAGGAGGUUAGUGCAAUGGCAUAAGCCAGCUUGACUGCGAGCGUGACGGCGCGAGCAGGUGCGAAAGCAGGUCAUAGUGAUCCGGUGGUUCUGAAUGGAAGGGCCAUCGCUCAACGGAUAAAAGGUACUCCGGGGAUAACAGGCUGAUACCGCCCAAGAGUUCAUAUCGACGGCGGUGUUUGGCACCUCGAUGUCGGCUCAUCACAUCCUGGGGCUGAAGUAGGUCCCAAGGGUAUGGCUGUUCGCCAUUUAAAGUGGUACGCGAGCUGGGUUUAGAACGUCGUGAGACAGUUCGGUCCCUAUCUGCCGUGGGCGCUGGAGAACUGAGGGGGGCUGCUCCUAGUACGAGAGGACCGGAGUGGACGCAUCACUGGUGUUCGGGUUGUCAUGCCAAUGGCACUGCCCGGUAGCUAAAUGCGGAAGAGAUAAGUGCUGAAAGCAUCUAAGCACGAAACUUGCCCCGAGAUGAGUUCUCCCUGACCCUUUAAGGGUCCUGAAGGAACGUUGAAGACGACGACGUUGAUAGGCCGGGUGUGUAAGCGCAGCGAUGCGUUGAGCUAACCGGUACUAAUGAACCGUGAGGCUUAACCUU